UGUGAGCUGGCAGAAUUAAUGCGCUUGAUUUAGGAUCAACUCAUAAGUACACUUACUUGCUCUCAU
Molecule: transfer RNA, 66 nt
Filed under: Crenomytilus grayanus
Lineage: Eukaryota; Metazoa; Mollusca; Bivalvia; Mytilida; Mytilidae
Description: tRNA-Leu
Source: RNAcentral